ACUGAAGGAUGGCAGCCACCUGGACAUCAGGAUCCCUUGUGAAAAUACGAGAGAUCUUCCACAGAGAGGACAAGUAUUUCUCAUUUGUGACAUAUAGCUUUAAUGUUACAACCCAUCCUGGAGCUUUCAGGUAUGUUUCCUAUUUUUCUAUUCCAUUUUCAAAUUGAACAGAAAAAAAAGAGAAGUAAAGGUUGUCAGUUUGAAGAAGAGGUUUUGAGUUAACUAUUUGGAUUAUUUUGCCAUGACAACAGAACUGAUGAGGUGCUCUGUGGUGAUUAGCAAAAUACUGGUCAAGCAAAAUGGUUAUAAUAAUCCAGAAUCAUGAAUUCAAAUUUCACAAUGGCAACUGGACAAUUUAAAGUCAGUCAAAUAAAUAUGGAAUAAAAUGUCAUUAUCAUUACUUGCAGCUACACUAAAGUUGAAUUUGUAUUAAAACCUUAACUGGUUUAUGAACUUUAGCAACCAGUCUGUAUGUGACUCCUGACUCUCAGCAAUGAUGGUAAUUUUUAACUGUCCUCUGAAUGCGCUCGCAAGCUGCUCUGGAGUAUCACAUCACUAUGCAAACAAUAGGAAUAAAGCUGAGUGGCAUCAAAAAAUGACAAAGGCACAUAUAGCUCAGUCGACACUACAGAGUCCUCCUCACUGACGUUGGGAAUUUGUGCCAAAUGUGGGAGCUGUCCCACAGACUAAUCAGGAUUAGCCUGACACAGUCAUGAAUUCAGAAACAUUUACCCAAUGUCCCAAGUUCCUCUGACAUCAGGAGCUGUCCCAUAAGUAGGGCAUACUCACCUGAAGUGUCUGCACAGUGGUACACAGUAGGAAAUGACAUGCUGAGCAUCAUCAAUGUUGAUUUGUCUAAAUGUCCCUUUGUUAUCAAUGUUAAGUGGCCAGCCAAGGAAAGGACACUUGUUCACCAGUGGAAUGCAUCUGGGAGACCUCGGUGUUGAUGCCAAGGUCCUCAUGGCAUAAGGUCAAUGUUCUGAUAAUUAUCAACCAUUGUCCUCCUUAAGCUGUUGAAUUGGUACUUCUCCAGGUUAAACAAGACCUUGAAAGAACUACUGAAGGCAGCAAGAGCAUUUGAUGUACUUUGGGUUCAAUAGCCAUCUCCAGAAGUGACUCACUGGCACCAAUACUGACUAAGCCAACUGAGUCCUGAAAAACAGUUCCAAACUAGGCCAGAAGGAAGUGGUGAGAGUUUCAGUAUCACGGGAGAACUUACUUGCCAUCAUCAUUUUACUUUUUGAUUGCAGCCCCUACUCACCGUUUCCGGCGAGGUGGAAAAUCUCACGUUUACAUCAGAAAUACAACGUUUAGAAAUGUCUCGGAGAGCAAAAUUAAUGUCUGAAUGGCACCUCAACUUUCCAGAUUUCUGUGUGGGGGGGUUCCCCUAUUUAAAGCAAAAGCAAGGACAGUUUAUAAUUGUUUUCAGUUCGAAUGCAACGACUUGUAUUCUAGCCGCUAUACCUCAGCUCAAAUUUCAAUUAAUUCUGUUCCAGGCAAGUAGCUGAAGACAGCUAUGAGUGCUGAAAAUCUGGUAGAAAUGGUGAUCAAUAGUUUAUUCUUGAGCAUGAGGGCUCUUGUGGCACGCUGGUAGUGUCCAGAAGGAUCCAGGGUAAGUCCCAGCUGCUGAAGACGUGCGUAAUCACACAUCUUGAAUAGUUGAUUCAAAAUAUUUGAUCAUUCCUCGAGAACAGCAUAUUUGCAAAUAUUUUUAACUGGUCCCACCUCUUGCUUGCCGUUUAGGAUCUCGUUAUGAUAAAUCAAACUUGUGAGUCGUCUCAUCACCAAACUAUUCAUGGGUUUAGAGGAAAGUAGUCAAGUUCUGGGAAUGAUUGUGCUGUUUUGUAAUCGCAGCUACAGGUGCUAGUUGGGUGAGACAAUACGGUGCGGGAUGAUUGGUCGCUGCAUGCGGGCAGGCACCAUUAAUGAAGUUUUCAGACGGUGUCGAAACUUGUUCGGUCGUUCCACCGCACCAUCAGCUCUUAAGAGCAAACUAGUCGAAGUGCAGGUGAUUCUGGCCAAUCUUCAAAAGGAAACGGUAGCUGCCAAUUGAAAUGUCCUCAUGUACGUACAACGUGAGUUUGAAACUUGCCUCGCUUCAUCGCAUAUUAAAGCAUUGUUCAACCAAGCUGGAAUCAUCUUCUGAAACCGCUGAUCCACGGUUUGUGAAUUAAUAUUGUUGGAAAAUCCACUUUCUCUUCGAUCACAUUUGGUCCGUUUAAAAACGGCUAGGUAUCCCUUUGAUGGCAGGACUGCGAAAUAGAGGUCGUUUAGUCAAGACUUUGUAGUUACAUUGUUCGAGAUGUCCGGAACAUAUAGAUUUUGAAUAUGGAUAAGGUUUUUAUAAUUUUUUUUUGUUUGGCAUAAUUGAGAGACACGGAAUGAAAGGAUGUCGGGCAAUAUAUGUAAAUACCACAUCUUCCGCUGUCCGACUUUCAAACGUGAGACCCGAAUCAUAAAUGUGGCCCAAUACAUCUGCUUAUAAUCAUCUCGCAUAAAACUGCUAAAAUUCCUUUCAAGAAACUGAUCUCACUGGAGAAAUGGAAGCAAUACAACCAUGAAUGCGAAAUAAGUUGCAAUGCUCACUUAACGUUAAAGCCCUCAUGUUAGUACAUUAACAGUUGGUUCAUAUGAAAUGUGUAUUAGUGCUGUUUAUUGCAAGUUGAACUCACUUUUAGCAAUAUGUUGAAUGAUACUUGGAGUCUGUUCUUACGAACUAGUUUCUCCUGUGAUAUUUGUGAGCGAUGACCGCCCCUACAAUCCGGGCAGCACCGUACACAUCAUCUGCUUUCCCGUAAAUUGCAUUGGGUUGAACCAACUGCAUUUCCGCUGUGCACUUUGAGACCGACACUCCAAGUUGCUAUGAGAUCCACUUUAUCGGGAGUACAGUAUUUCGUAGACUCCUCUCAAAUUUUCUGGCAGCUAUUGGCCAAAUCCAGUGGUGCAUUUGCCCAGUAUAGUGAGCAUUGAUUUUUCUCAACCCUGUAUCCCAGGCCUGGACAAAUAAAAUUGUCGUGGAAAAUGUGGUAUUUAAGUCAUGAAGCAUUGUCGGUAAAUAUCACCAACCUACGUACACUUUCUGGCACUUGCGUCUGUUUUACGCAACCGUUUCUCAACAAGGCGGAAGUCCCUCCUCUGUGUCACUUGUAUUUGUGCGAAUUUUUCUGUCGGCCCUUAGCGCCCCCAUGUUAUUAUCGAGUUAAGAACCGUUUAUUUUUCCCAUCACAGCGUAGCGCAGGCAACAAAUGGCCCAAUAUUUGUCCACGGGACAUAUAAUAGUAUUUUGAAACAAUCACGUUUCUUGAAGUUUCUGUAAGUAAACACGAAUAAAUGCAUUUAAUAGAAUGAAAAA
Long non-coding RNA from Rhincodon typus (whale shark), 3352 nucleotides. RefSeq lists it as uncharacterized. The record is from RefSeq and is a predicted model, not a curated record. The transcript is spliced from 2 exons. NCBI's taxonomy places the organism in Eukaryota, Metazoa, Chordata, Chondrichthyes, Orectolobiformes, Rhincodontidae.